RNAcentral lists this ribosomal RNA (548 nucleotides) under uncultured Glomeromycotina. Its description in RNAcentral is "SSU rRNA". It matches the Rfam family "Eukaryotic small subunit ribosomal RNA", at positions 548 to 1097 of the family's 1831-position model. Lineage: Eukaryota; Fungi; Glomeromycota. The record is from RNAcentral.
UUGGAGGGCAAGUCUGGUGCCAGCAGCCGCGGUAAUUCCAGCUCCAAUAGCGUAUAUUAAAGUUGUUGCAGUUAAAAAGCUCGUAGUUGAAUUUCGGGGUCAGUAGGUUGGUCGUGCCACUGGUAUGCACUGGUCUCACUGAUUCCUCCUUCCUGAUGAACCGUAAUGCCAUUAAUUUGGUGUUGCGGGGAAUCUGGACUGUUACUUUGAAAAAAUUAGAGUGUUUAAAGCAGGCUAACGCUUGAAUACAUUAGCAUGGAAUAAUGAAAUAGGACGAUCGAUCCUAUUUUGUUGGUUUCUAGGAUUGACGUAAUGAUUAAUAGGGAUAGUUGGGGGCAUUAGUAUUCAAUUGUCAGAGGUGAAAUUCUUGGAUUUAUUGAAGACUAACUACUGCGAAAGCAUUUGCCAAGGAUGUUUUCAUUAAUCAAGAACGGAAGUUAGGGGAUCGAAGACGAUCAGAUACCGUCGUAGUCUUAACCAUAAACUAUGCCGACUAGGGAUCGGAUGAUGUUAAUUUUUUAAUGACUCAUUCGGCGCCUUACGGGAAA